This 468-nucleotide ribosomal RNA is filed under the name uncultured bacterium. RNAcentral describes it as "partial 16S ribosomal RNA". It matches the Rfam family "Bacterial small subunit ribosomal RNA", at positions 28 to 507 of the family's 1533-position model. The record is from RNAcentral.
GACGAACGCUGGCGGCGUGCUUAACACAUGCAAGUCGAACGGAAAGGCCCUGCUUUUGUGGGGUGCUCGAGUGGCGAACGGGUGAUUAACACGUGAGUAACCUGCCCUUGACUUUGGGAUAACUUCAUGAAACUUGGGCUAAUACCGGAUAGGAGCUCCUGCUGCAUGGUGGGGGUUGGAAAGUUUCGGCGGUUGGGGAUGGACUCGCGGCUUAUCAGCUUGUUGGUGGGGUAGUGGCUUACCAAGGCUUUGACGGGUAGCCGGCCUGAGAGGGUGACCGGCCACAUUGGGACUGAGAUACGGCCCAGACUCCUACGGGAGGCAGCAGUGGGGAAUAUUGCACAAUGGGCGGAAGCCUGAUGCAGCAACGCCGCGUGCGGGAUGACGGCCUUCGGGUUGUAAACCGCUUUCGCCUGUGACGAAGCGUGAGUGACGGUAAUGGGUAAAGAAGCACCGGCUAACUACGUG